RNAcentral lists this ribosomal RNA (490 nucleotides) under uncultured bacterium. RNAcentral describes it as "bacterial SSU rRNA". It matches the Rfam family "Bacterial small subunit ribosomal RNA", at positions 29 to 512 of the family's 1533-position model. The record is from RNAcentral.
AUUGAACGCUGGCGGCAUGCCUUACACAUGCAAGUCGAACGGCAGCGCGGGAGCAAUCCUGGCGGCGAGUGGCGAACGGGUGAGUAAUAUAUCGGAACGUGCCCAGUAGUGGGGGAUAGCCCGGCGAAAGCCGGAUUAAUACCGCAUGAGACCUGAGGGUGAAAGCGGGGGAUCGCAAGACCUCGCGCUAUUGGAGCGGCCGAUAUCAGAUUAGCUAGUUGGUGGGGUAAAGGCCUACCAAGGCAACGAUCUGUAGUUGGUCUGAGAGGACGACCAGCCACACUGGGACUGAGACACGGCCCAGACUCCUACGGGAGGCAGCAGUGGGGAAUUGUUCGCAAUGGGCGCAAGCCUGACGACGCAACGCCGCGUGGAGGAUGAAGAUCUUCGGGUCGUAAACUCCUUUCGAUCGAGACGAAUGGCCCUCGGGCUAACAUCCUGAGGGAGUGACGGUACCGAGAGAAGAAGCCCCGGCUAACUCCGUGCCAGC